RNAcentral lists this ribosomal RNA (447 nucleotides) under Blaesoxipha plinthopyga. RNAcentral describes it as "partial 16S ribosomal RNA". It matches the Rfam family "Bacterial large subunit ribosomal RNA", at positions 1922 to 2578 of the family's 2925-position model. Lineage: Eukaryota; Metazoa; Arthropoda; Insecta; Diptera; Sarcophagidae. The record is from RNAcentral.
UUUAAAUGGCCGCAGUAUACUAACUGUGCAAAGGUAGCAUAAUCAUUAGUCUUUUAAUUGAAGGCUGGUAUGAAUGGUUGGACGAGAUAUUAACUGUUUCAUAAAAAUUUAUAUUAGAAUUUUAUUUUUUAGUCAAAAAGCUAAAAUAAUAUUAAAAGACGAGAAGACCCUAUAAAUCUUUAUAUUUAGAUUAUUAAAAUUUUGUAGAUUUUUUUUAUUAUAAUAAUUGAUUAUAUUUUAUUGGGGUGAUAUUAAAAUUUAAUGAACUUUUAAUUUUAUAAAUCAUUAAUUUAUGAAUAAUUGAUCCGUUAAUAACGAUUAAAAAAAUAAGUUACUUUAGGGAUAACAGCGUAAUUUUUUUGGAGAGUUCUUAUCGAUAAAAAAGAUUGCGACCUCGAUGUUGGAUUAAGAUAUAGUUUUAGGUGUAGCCGCUUAAAUUUUAAGUCU